UACGUAGGGUGCGAGCGUUGUCCGGAAUUAUUGGGCGUAAAGAGCUCGUAGGCGGUCUGUCGCGUCUGCUGUGAAAUCCCGAGGCUCAACCUCGGGCCUGCAGUGGGUACGGGCAGACUAGAGUGCGGUAGGGGAGAAUGGAAUUCCUGGUGUAGCGGUGGAAUGCGCAGAUAUCAGGAGGAACACCGAUGGCGAAGGCAGUUCUCUGGGCCGUAACUGACGCUGAGGAGCGAAAGCGUGGGGAGCGAGCAGG
Molecule: ribosomal RNA, 253 nt
Filed under: uncultured bacterium
Lineage: Bacteria
Description: partial 16S ribosomal RNA
Rfam family: Bacterial small subunit ribosomal RNA
Source: RNAcentral